Molecule: ribosomal RNA, 253 nt
Filed under: uncultured bacterium
Lineage: Bacteria
Description: partial 16S ribosomal RNA
Rfam family: Bacterial small subunit ribosomal RNA
Source: RNAcentral
UACAUGUGGGGCAAGCGUUGUUCGGAAUUACUGGGCAUAAAGGGUGCGUAGGCGGCUUUUUAAGUCAGCGGUGAAAUACUUCGGCUCAACCGAGGAACUGCCGUUGAUACUGGAAGGCUUGAGUACUGAUGAAGUGGGCGGAAUUGAAGGUGUAGCGGUGAAAUGCAUAGAUAUCUUCAAGAACACCGAUUGCGAAGGCAGCUCACUAAGGAGUAACUGACGCUGAGGCACGAAAGCGUGGGUAGCAAACAGG